AAAACCACCAAAGUUCUGAGUUUUUCAGAAAUUGUUUAAACUUUAAAAAAAUUUGAAUUCAGCUCACCGAAAGCUUUCAAAUAACACCCAUCAUGACUAUGCUACGACUUUUUUUUAAAAUUUUUGAUUUUUUUGGGUCCCACCACGAAA
Molecule: non-coding RNA, 150 nt
Organism: Caenorhabditis elegans
Lineage: Eukaryota; Metazoa; Nematoda; Chromadorea; Rhabditida; Rhabditidae
Source: Ensembl